RNAcentral lists this ribosomal RNA (254 nucleotides) under uncultured prokaryote. RNAcentral's name for it is "partial 16S ribosomal RNA". It matches the Rfam family "Bacterial small subunit ribosomal RNA", at positions 524 to 777 of the family's 1533-position model. The record is from RNAcentral.
UACGUAGGGUGUAAGCGUUAAUCGGAAUUACUGGGCGUAAAGCGUGCGCAGGCGGUUGUGCAAGACAGAUGUGAAAUCCCCGGGCUCAACCUGGGAAUUGCAUUUGUGACUGCACGGCUAGAGUGUGUCAGAGGGGGGUAGAAUUCCACGUGUAGCAGUGAAAUGCGUAGAGAUGUGGAGGAAUACCGAUGGCGAAGGCAGCCCCCUGGGAUAACACUGACGCUCAUGCACGAAAGCGUGGGUAGCAAACAGGA